AGGAUUAGAAAUCGGCCUGAUUGUAGUUGUUGUAGUCGUGUUGCUGUAUGCAGUUGCUAUUACUUUCUUGCUAAUUCAGCUCAGAAGCAAAGUACCAGCCAGGACUGAAAAGAACAGACAAGAUCCUUACAUGGAUCUAAAACCCAGACCCGAGGCAGACAACACAUACCAGGAGAUCGCUAUUACCUCAUCGACUUCGUCCCAAAAAGCAAGAGAAAAAAGUCUACAAUCACCAAACCUGGAUUAUGAGAACCAGAAUGUUGCGCAGUUUGCAAACACAAGAAAAGACGGUGCUGAUUAUGAAUUUGUACUAACCCCAAAUUAAGACAACUGGAAGCUUUAUAAAAACUCAAAUUUGCUUCUCAGUAAUUGUUUGUCUCUUGAUUUUCAAUUACAGAGAACAAUAUCAUAGAUUAAUUGAGUAAUUCUGUUUCGAAGGCAAUACAAAAUCUCUCAAAAUGUCUUAAUUAAAUGCUAAACAUUGGCAAAAUUAACAGGGAAAAAGGCAUUACUUUUCCACAAAGAAUUUAGAAAAGUUAUGAAGAAUAUGUUGUAUCAAACAAAUACAGUUCUACUCUUAGUACUGUGAAUGCACUGCUUUGAUUGAAAUAUUGUAAUCAAACGCUGCAAUACAAAGGAAAAA
Strongylocentrotus purpuratus (purple sea urchin) is the source of this 643-nucleotide long non-coding RNA. RefSeq lists it as uncharacterized. The record is from RefSeq and is a predicted model, not a curated record. Lineage: Eukaryota; Metazoa; Echinodermata; Echinoidea; Camarodonta; Strongylocentrotidae. The transcript is spliced from 2 exons.